This 429-nucleotide ribosomal RNA is filed under the name Acidobacteriota bacterium. RNAcentral's name for it is "Acidobacteria bacterium partial 16S ribosomal RNA". It matches the Rfam family "Bacterial small subunit ribosomal RNA", at positions 355 to 776 of the family's 1533-position model. The record is from RNAcentral. Lineage: Bacteria; Pseudomonadati; Acidobacteriota.
UGGGGAAUUUUGGACAAUGGGGGAAACCCUGAUCCAGCCAUCCCGCGUGUGCGAUGAAGGCCUUCGGGUUGUAAAGCACUUUUGGCAGGAAAGAAACGUCAUGGGUUAAUACCCCGUGAAACUGACGGUACCUGCAGAAUAAGCACCGGCUAACUACGUGCCAGCAGCCGCGGUAAUACGUAGGGUGCAAGCGUUAAUCGGAAUUACUGGGCGUAAAGCGUGCGCAGGCGGUUCGGAAAGAAAGAUGUGAAAUCCCAGAUCUCAACUUUGGAACUGCAUUUUUAACUACCGGGCUAGAGUGUGUCAGAGGGAGGUGGAAUUCCGCGUGUAGCAGUGAAAUGCAUAGAUAUGCGGAGGAACACCGGUGGCGAAGGCAGCCUCCUGGGAUGACACUGACGCUCAUGCACGAAAGCGUGGGGAGCAAACAGG